GACGAACGCUGGCGGCGUGCUUAACACAUGCAAGUCGAACGCUGAAGCUCAGCUUGCUGGGUGGAUGAGUGGCGAACGGGAGAGUAACACGUGAGUAACCUGCCCUCUUCUUUGGGAUAACGCCCGGAAACGGGUGCUAAUACUGGAUAUUCACUGAUUCUCGCAUGGGGGUUGGUGGAAAGGUUUUUUCUGGUGGGGGAUGGGCUCGCGGCCUAUCAGCUUGUUGGUGGGGUGAUGGCCUACCAAGGCUUUGACGGGUAGCCGGCCUGAGAGGGUGACCGGUCACAUUGGGACUGAGAUACGGCCCAGACUCCUACGGGAGGCAGCAGUGGGGAAUAUUGCACAAUGGGCGAAAGCCUGAUGCAGCGACGCCGCGUGAGGGAUGGAGGCCUUCGGGUUGUAAACCUCUUUCGCUCAUGGUCAAGCCGCAGCUUUGGGUUGUGGUGAGGGUAGUGGGUAAAGAAGCGCCGGCUAACUACGUG
Molecule: ribosomal RNA, 482 nt
Filed under: uncultured bacterium
Lineage: Bacteria
Description: partial 16S ribosomal RNA
Rfam family: Bacterial small subunit ribosomal RNA
Source: RNAcentral